This is a non-coding RNA of Salmo salar (Atlantic salmon), 4305 nucleotides long. The record is from RefSeq and is a predicted model, not a curated record. Lineage: Eukaryota; Metazoa; Chordata; Actinopteri; Salmoniformes; Salmonidae.
CUGCAACUGGAGAGCCAGAAAAUCUGUACAAGAAUGUGGAGCCUGCUCAUUUGAAGUUAAAGAUAGAGGCAGCAGCACAAGCUGUGUCCUGACAGUUUCUAAUUUCAGAUAUCUGACUGUAGCUAAGCUAACCACCGUCCAACUGAGGCUGGCUGCUUUUGUUGUCGUGCUUGCCUGGUAGAGAGGGCUUUAUACUCUACAGUUGUUAAGAAGGACAAACCUUUGGAGUAGCACACAGACAGACAAGGAGAAGGAAACAGAGGAACAUGGUACAUUCUGAAGGAAUGAUUGAAGAUCGUGGGAGGAGUGGCGACAUCAUGGCGGAGAGACGACAACUGUUCGCAGAGAUGCGGGCGCAAGAGUUGGAUUCCAUAAGAUUGUCCACGUAUAGAACUGCUUCCAAACUCAGAUUCGUUCAGAAGAAAUGCAAUCUCCAUUUGGUGGACAUCUGGAACGUGAUCGAGGCGUUCAGAGAGAACGGCCUGAACACCAUGGACCUCAACACAGAGUUCACUGUGGCUCGCCUGGAAGCAAUACUAUCGACCAUCUUCUACCAGCUCAACAAGCGCAUGCCCACCACACACCAGAUCAAUGUGGAACAGUCCAUCAGUCUGCUACUCAACUUUCUCCUGGCUGCCUAUGACCCGGAAGGCCUCGGAAAAAUGUCUGUCUUUGUUGUGAAGAUGGCCCUGGCAACCAUCUGCGGAGGAAAGAUUUUGGAUAAAUUAAGAUAUAUUUUUUCACAGAUAUCAGACCCUGGUGGCAUAAUGGUGUACUCCCAAUUCGACCAGUUUCUGAGGGAGGUUCUCAAAUUGCCAAUGACUGUUUUUGAGGGGCCUUCCUUUGGCUAUACUGAGCAAGCCACAAGAACCUGCUUUGCACAGCAGAAAAAGGUCUCCCUCAACACAUUCCUGGACACGAUGAUGUCAGAUCCUCCUCCUCAGUGUCUGGUGUGGUUACCACUCAUGCAUCGCUUGGCUAAUGUGGAGAAUGUGUUCCACCCGGUCGAGUGCUCCUACUGCCACAGUGAGAGUAUAAUGGGCUUCCGCUACCGCUGCCAACAAUGUCAUAAUUACCAGCUCUGUCAGGACUGCUUCUGGAGGGGGCAUGCCAGCGGUUCCCAUAGCAACCAACACCAAAUGAAGGAGUACACGUCAUGGAAAUCGCCUGCUAAGAAGUUAUCUAAUGCUCUCAGCAAGUCACUGAGCUGUGCAUCCAGCAGAGAACCUUUACACCCCAUGUUUCCUGACAUGCCAGAAAAACCUCUGAACCUAGCCCACAUUGUAGACACUUGGCCUCCCAGACCAAUGAAUAGCACCAAUGACUUCAUGCUCUCCCACUCCAUGCCCACGUCAGGGAACCCUUACUCCACUAAGAAUUUGCUGGAGAGCAGUUACCACCAGGAGGAAGAGCACAGUCUCAUCGCCCACUACGCUGCUAGACUGGCCUCUGACGCAGACGCCGCGCAACAGCAGCAGAGGGUCCCCAACGAUAUCUCUUUCUCUCUGGAUGCCAACAAGCAGCAGAGGCAGCUUAUUGCUGAGCUAGAGAGCAAAAACAGAGAGAUCUUGCAGGAGAUCCAGCGUCUGAAAGUGCAGCACGAGCAGGCCUCCCAGCCUCCCACAUGCACGUCCCAACAGAACCCCACUCUGCUGGCCGAGUUACGGCUUCUCAGGCAACGCAAAGAUGAGCUGGAGCAGAGGAUGUCUGCUCUGCAGGAGAGUCGCAGGGAACUCAUGGUACAGCUGGAGCAGCUGAUGCUGCUGCUGAAGGAGGAGGAAAGGAAGCAAGCUACUCAGGGACCUGGCUCCCCCCGCUCGUCUCCCAGCCACACAGUCAGUCGGCCCAUCCCCAUGCCAACCCAGUCAGAAUCUGCCGGCACCACACCCACUCACACCCCUCAGGACUCACUCAUGGGUGUGGGAGGGGACGUGCAGGAGGCCUUCGCUCAGGGCCCCAGAAGGAACUUGAGAAAUGACCUCCUUGUUGCUGCUGACUCCAUCACCAACACCAUGUCUUCAUUGGUUAAAGAGCUCAAUUCAGAGGCUGGAAGUCAAUCAGGGAGCAACAUGGACUCUCAGACAGAUGAACUGGUCUCCUCUCCCACUUCCGAUCUUCUAGCACAGAUGAGCACUAAACCACGUGUUGGUGGCAGGAACCCUGGUGGAGUUGAGGAGGAGUGCUAUGAGAAUGACUUGGUUCAGGUGCUGGAGGAUGAGCUGAAGAUGGGGGAACAACUAAAACACAGACGGGAGCAAGAGAAAACCCAUAUGGUGACCUAUGGUUUGAGUUAUUAUAAUGGAAAAUAAGUGCAUUUCAAAACACAUUCCUUACAUAUUCCUUGAAUUCUUCUCUCUUCAUUUUGGUUGUUUUCUUGGUGCGGUACAGGUGACUUUGCAGCAAUGACCUUGUUUAACAAGUCUCCUGGUAAGCAAUAUGAAAAGCCACAAAAGUAGAAAAACACUGGAAGAUGGAUGAGAAGAGAAGGCAUAUAGAGAAGGCUGUGAAGAGAUGAUGGUCCACAUGCAUGCAAGUCAAGCUAAAAAAGAAGUGACAAGGAGGAAGGAUCAAAGUUAUUACACUGCUAAAUCCAACAAUAGAAUACAUAGUUAUAUUAUGUAAAGAUCUAUUUUUUAAACCAACAGCAUUUCUAAGUGAAUACUGUGAACCGAUAUGGAGGGAUUAUUAAACAAAGCAGCUGUCUAUUAUACCACCGGUGCCAUAAAAUCGAAUAGCUUUGUUGACAAUUAUUUGAUAUUUAAUCAUAUUAUUUUUGGGUAUGAGUUGUUGAAGAAUUGUGCAAAUAUAUGCUGUAGUUAAUUUUUCCCUGAGGCCGCAUUCGGUCUUCAACGAGGUCCGGAGUGUCGCACUGAAUUGUUUAAAAUAUUUCCUUGCUGUCAAAAUUUGCAAAAAAUUGUCCUCUAUCCAUCAUUUUGGGAAUUGCCUAUGAUCUCUGACUGUUUAGUAGCGAGCUGGACUGUCAAGAAACUGUAUGAGUAUAGGUCCAAUAUCAUUUCUACACAGUUUUGAUUAGAUUUUAGUCCUUUUUUUUUCAUUUUAAAGUGUAUUUUUACUCAAACCACCCACGGGCCAGAUUGGACGCCCUCUGACCUGCGGGUCGUAUGUUUGAUACCCCUGCUGUAGGUGUAUUGCUGGUGAGAUUGCUUUUUAAACCAAAUAGUAAACUUGGUAUAUGUGUAAACUGAGGCACAACUGUAUAAUCCAGAGGGUAGCUACAGUAUGUCUGACGCUAUGACCUGGUUGGCCCACCAGUCGAAUGAUACUGGUGUUGUAUCGCUUUUGUAUUUGUUGUUUGACCUUUUAGCUUUUUGAUUGACCUAUUGAAAGAGUGGCUUGUCAGAUAGUUUAUUUUAUUUGCCUUAGCUGGUUAGUCUAGCUCACCUUUGGAUGGGGUACAGUCAGACCUUCAAUGCAGCAUGUACUGUAGCUAACAUUGUUCCAGCCACUGAUAAAUUCACUGUCAAAAUCAAUUUGUUUAUUUCACCCACAAGUAUUGCCUAGUAGUUAAUAGUACUGUAUUACGUAAGACAACUUUGCAGCCGAGGAACAAUGUUAUUUGCCUUCUGCAUGUUGUGUUUGCCACAUUGCAAAUUUUAUUUAAUUCCACCUGGAGUAUUAAGCCGUUAGGUGAUACUAAGAGAAUGAGACAGUAUAAGACAAAGAAGCUGAACCUAUGAUACAUCUAAUGCUGGAAAGUAAUAUUGUCUACUGAAGGAUUUUGUUACCUAAUAGCUAUACAUUGAUUAAGAGUUAUAGUUGAGUUUAUUUUAUUAUAGCUGCUUGAGAUUUGAAGAUGUGACGACAUAAAUGAAAUUGGAGUAGGGAGUACAGUACGUAGACAGUACAUAGUAGAUAGAAUGGACAGUACAGUACAUAUAAUGGACAACAUUGUUCAUAACACUCCAGAUUCUAAGGUUUACACUUGCAAGAACAGAGGACAUUGUUUGUUUACCAUGUUUCAGAAUCAAUAUCUUCUGUUUUACCAGAGAUUUUGAAGUUGCAUUGUCAUUUAAAUGUUCUGACCAAAUUAUUAGCGUUCUUAUACUCACUCACACACAAAUCUCUCACAAACAUACACUCAAAGACACUCACAGUCACACACUUGGUAACCAAGCUCAUUGUGUGUAAAUGUUACCCAGUCACUUUAAAAUAUGUGGUGCAAGCCAAUAAAUGUGUGAAAUAUAUCUAGUAUGAUUUUCAAACUAAUUCGUAUAAGUGAUUUUGCAUGGUGGUGAUGAUGCAUAAUAAAGAUUUGACACAACAUGAUAAUGUUGUUGCCUAUGA